CCCCGCAGGCCGCCAUGGCGAACGUCGCCGACACCAAUCUGUACGAUAUCCUGGGUGUCCCGCCCGGCGCCAACGAGAACGAGCUGAAGAAGGCAUACAGAAAGUUAGCCAAGGAAUAUCAUCCUGAUAAGAAUCCAAAUGCUGGAGACAAAUUUAAAGAAAUAAGUUUUGCAUAUGAAGUACUAUCAAAUCCAGAAAAGCGUGAGUUAUAUGACAGAUAUGGAGAGCAAGGUCUUCGGGAAGGCAGCGGUGGAGGUGGUGGCAUGGAUGAUAUUUUCUCUCACAUUUUUGGUGGAGGUUUAUUUGGCUUCAUGGGUAAUCAGAGUAGAAGUCGAAAUGGCAGAAGAAGAGGAGAAGACAUGAUGCAUCCACUCAAAGUAUCCUUAGAAGAUCUGUAUAAUGGCAAAACGACCAAACUACAACUUAGCAAGAAUGUACUCUGUAGUGCAUGCAGUGGUCAAGGUGGAAAAUCUGGAGCUGUCCAGAAGUGUAGUGCUUGUCGAGGUCGAGGUAUACGCAUCAUGAUCAGGCAACUGGCUCCAGGAAUGGUGCAGCAGAUGCAGUCUGUGUGUUCUGAUUGUAAUGGAGAAGGAGAGGUAAUUAAUGUUCAUGUAGACAAAGGCAUGAAACAUGGACAGAGAAUUACAUUUACUGGGGAGGCAGACCAGGCCCCAGGAGUGGAACCAGGAGACAUUGUUCUUUUGCUGCAAGAGAAAGAACAUGAGGUGUUCCAGAGAGAUGGGAAUGAUUUGCACAUGACAUAUAAGAUAGGACUUGUUGAAGCUCUGUGUGGAUUUCAGUUCACUUUUAAGCACCUUGAUGCACGUCAGAUUGUGGUGAAGUACCCCCCUGGCAAAGUAAUUGAACCAGGAUGUGUUCGUGUAGUGCGAGGUGAAGGAAUGCCACAGUAUCGUAAUCCCUUUGAAAAAGGUGAUCUUUACAUAAAGUUUGAUGUGCAGUUUCCGGAAAACAACUGGAUCAACCCCGAUAAGCUUUCUGAACUAGAAGAUCUUCUUCCGUCUAGACCUGAAGUUCCUAACAUAAUUGGAGAAACUGAGGAAGUAGAGCUCCAGAAAUUUGAUAGCACUCGAGGCUCAGGAGGUGGUCAGAGGUGGGAAGCCUAUAAUGAUAGCUCUGAUGAAGAAAGCAGCAGCCAUCAUGGGCCUGGAGUGCAGUGUGCGCAUCAGUAAACUCUGCAGACAAAUUGCACAGGUGGAUUUUCUUUCCACAUUUGCCUGAUUUAUUAUCAGUGAUCCAGCUGGAGUGUGAUCAAUCCAGAUGAACUGAUGGACAUCUGUUGGUCUCUGUAACUUUUACAAUUGGUAUAGUAUCUUACAGAGUGUAUAAUUUAAACUAACCACAAAGCUUUACAUCUUCAUUUUGACUGUUCUGUAGCAGAAUAAAGCACUUGAAAGGAAACAAGACUCCCUUUCACACUGG
Octodon degus (degu) is the source of this 1440-nucleotide RNA transcript. It is a transcript of the gene named dnaJ homolog subfamily A member 2 pseudogene, with no coding region annotated. The transcript has a single exon. NCBI's taxonomy places the organism in Eukaryota, Metazoa, Chordata, Mammalia, Rodentia, Octodontidae. The record is from RefSeq and is a predicted model, not a curated record.